Molecule: ribosomal RNA, 253 nt
Filed under: uncultured bacterium
Lineage: Bacteria
Description: partial 16S ribosomal RNA
Rfam family: Bacterial small subunit ribosomal RNA
Source: RNAcentral
UACGAAGGGGGCUAGCGUUAUCCGGAAUGAUUGGGCGUAAAGCGUCCGCAGGUGGCUGUGUAAGUCUGCUGUCAAAGAGCGAAGCUCAACUUCGUAAAGGCAGUGGAAACUACACGGCUAGAGUGCGUUCGGGGCAGAGGGAAUUCCUGGUGUAGCGGUGAAAUGCGUAGAGAUCAGGAAGAACACCGGUGGCGAAGGCGCUCUGCUAGGCCGCAACUGACACUGAGGGACGAAAGCUAGGGGAGCGAAUGGG